Molecule: ribosomal RNA, 402 nt
Filed under: uncultured Brevundimonas sp.
Lineage: Bacteria; Pseudomonadati; Pseudomonadota; Alphaproteobacteria; Caulobacterales; Caulobacteraceae
Description: bacterial SSU rRNA
Rfam family: Bacterial small subunit ribosomal RNA
Source: RNAcentral
UGGGGAAUCUUAGACAAUGGGCGCAAGCCUGAUCUAGCCAUGCCGCGUGAAUGAUGAAGGUCUUAGGAUUGUAAAAUUCUUUCACCGGGGACGAUAAUGACGGUACCCGGAGAAGAAGCCCCGGCUAACUUCGUGCCAGCAGCCGCGGUAAUACGAAGGGGGCUAGCGUUGCUCGGAAUUACUGGGCGUAAAGAGCGCGUAGGCGGACAUUUAAGUCAGGGGUGAAAUCCCAGAGCUCAACUCUGGAACUGCCUUUGAUACUGGGUGUCUUGAGUGUGAGAGAGGGUAUGUGGAACUCCGAGUGUAGAGGUGAAAUUCGUAGAUAUUCGGAAGAACACCAGUGGCGAAGGCGACAUACUGGCUCAUUACUGACGCUGAGGCGCGAAGCGUGGGGAGCAAACA